Felis catus (domestic cat) is the source of this 3285-nucleotide long non-coding RNA. RefSeq lists it as uncharacterized. The transcript has 10 exons. Lineage: Eukaryota; Metazoa; Chordata; Mammalia; Carnivora; Felidae. The record is from RefSeq and is a predicted model, not a curated record.
CAGGAGGGGUGAAGAGGAGGGAUUGGUUAAAGAGAGAGCUUCCCCGGAAUUCUAUGGUUGCUAUAGUAACAGCUUCUUUUGUUUAUACAUAUUCAGAACAGCUGCUUCCUUUGGGUUUCUGGUGGCAGGGAUAUUAUAAAGGUAACUGACAGGGGAAGAAGCGCCACUCUGACCACGGAAUGGUUAACAUAGUACUAUGUAAAAAGGAUAUAGAAUGACCAGUGAGGAUUAAAAGGGCAAAGAGAGGAAAACAAUCCUCUGGAGGAAUUCUUGGGCAAAUGGAAACAAUUAAAUGUGGCAGGAGAGAAUGAAGAAGAUAAAAUUUGGAUUGAAGGUGGAAAAAAUGAAAGCAGUGGAAGGGAAGAGAUCACUGAGAAUCCAAACAGGGCCAAGGAUAACUGGUACACGCUAACCUUCAAUUCAAAGAAAGCUAAGAUGAUCACACAAAGAAAUUAAAGCCAAAUUUGCACUCUUCUGCUCUGCCAGAAGUCUUCCUCACCAGCUGCAUCCCUCUCUUUCUGUAUAUACAAUAGUACCUCUGAACAGUAGUGAACAUGAAUUGUCUUCGUGGCACAGCUAAGCCUGAAUGAUGUUAACGUUUCACAGAGACACAACUACAAACAUUCUCCAAAACUACCUGCAACAGCUCAUUACCCAAAACUACCUGCAAGGACUCAUAAAGCAAAAUAAGUCAGACUCACCAACUUAAAUGGAUUAAUAUUGUUUCAUUUCCAAUGUCCCUGUCGAUGCUCUGUGAGAUUUUGCUAUUCCUUAUUGUUGACUGGUAUACCAUCGAUGGUUCUACCACAAUUUAUUUAACCAAAUGCCUGUAGAUGAACACUUGGGUUGUUUGCAGCUUUGAGCUAUUAUAAAUGAAGCUACUAUAAACAUUUUACACAAACCACUUUGCGGACAUAUACCUUCAUUUGUCUUGGAUGAAGACCUACUAAGAAGAGGAAUUGCUGGAUCAUAAGUCUAUGUUUCUUGGAUUCUUUAACAUAAGUUAGCACAUAUGACUUCUGCUGGAAUGAAAAUGAUAUGCCUGGAAUUUCUUUUGUUUGCCUCUUCCAGGUAAACCAACAUGCAGCUAAAGUAGUUAAGAGGGAGUUAAAUCACUGUAAGAGAGAGUGGAGAUAUGAAGUCCUUGUUGAGGUGGUGAAAUCCUGUAUCAGGAUGUGACUGAUGAAGUGUCUGCUGAUACCAAACAGGCCUUGCGAUCUCAACUUACAACUCUGGGUUUGGGGAAAAGAAUGAAAUGUGUUGGGAAGCCAAUGUAAGUCUGAGGCUGUUCCUGGUAUUUACAGAAAGACUACAGAAAAAGACAUCAGAAUAAUGGCAAGGAUUUAUUUAACACCCUCAUUACUAAGUGGCCCUGAGAGCAAGCUUCACUGUCAAUUAAGAAUUUUCAAGAAAACAUCAAGAAAUAAAACGUUAUACUAGAUAUAAAAUGCCAAAACUGUGUAACUUGUGUGGUCAAUACAGUAUGUCAAACACAGCAAUAAAUUCAAGACAGAAAAGAACAGGAGAGAAUUUGGGGUUUGGCUCUUACGGAGAGAUUGUUGGAGAGCCAUUUCGAUGCGGUGCUGAGUGAGUGCCACUUGGGUAGUAACUGAUACUAAUUUUUGGUUAAUAGCUUCUAAAAUUUUAUCAAAUAUUUCUAGCUAUCUGUUGAGUUGUAGGCUAUAAAGAUGAUUUAUACCUUAGCUUAUAAGCAAGGAAAUCUAGUUACUGAUGAAAUUCAGGUGAAAAUUCUUCUUAACAUUUUAGAAAGUAAGAAAAAUCGAAGUGUCACAUAGUCUCCAUAGCUCACGUUUCUCAUGCGUCCUGAUCUCAAUUUGUUUCUUGUUUCCCCAGCGUCAUGGUACCAUUUCUUAUCCUCUCUUCAUUCUUUGUGUGAAUGCUAAUUGAGCAUGUACUUCAUACCAUGCACUCUUCCAUAUAUUCCGGACAUGGAAAUUAGUGAGAUUCAAUAUUUUCUCCUAAUGAACUUUAAACAACAGAUGGUUAACUGCAGUAAUAUAUAAUGACAUACAGCACAUUCCAGGUGCUACAUUGGAGUUUAGAGCCAAGUGUUGUGAAGACACAGAGAAAUGUUAAGUAGUCUGGAGCAGGCAAUGGGAUCAUCAGAAAAGACUUCACAGAGAAGUCUUUUGAUCGGUCUUUGGAAGGCAGAUAAUGGUUUCUUUAGAGUGAGAAGCUGAGGGAAAGGCAAUCUAUUCAUUGAGGUUUUGAACUGUUUACUACAGAUGAAAGAAAACUUGUGAAGGGUGAGCAAAGCCUCAGUGACAUAAAAGUGCAUGGCUUAUUCGAGAAACUCUGAGCAGUCAAAUAUUAUUGAAACAUAAGAUUUGUAACAGAAAUGGACUUGGCAAGAUAUUCACCUAAUAAAUAUUUAUUAAGUACAUAUUAUGGGCAAGAGACCAAGCUAGAAAUAACGCUAUGUAUUUUAUUGUAUACAACACAUCCAAUUACCCUAACAAAGUGGAUGUUAUUCUCCAAGUAGGUAUCAGGAAAUAAAUGAGGUGCAAGUAAGGGAAACUUGGUCAGACCUGUGAAUCCAGCUGGUUCCUCUAAACAUACCCUACUUAAAAACCCAAGUGAAUUCAAUUCUGAAAGGGACAAAGCAUCCUUUUAAAAAGUCUAUAACUUUAUCCUGAGAGUCUUAAUGAGUUAAGAUAGGUGUUUUAAGUCAAGGUAUAUCAUAAGAGCAUUUAGCAGCAAAUAUGGCAAAGUGGUUAAGGGAUCAGGCAUCACCACUAUAAGCUGUGUGUGAUUUGGCAAGUUAAUGUCGCAGGGUCACAGUGUUUUUUCUUAUAAAAUGGGGAUGAUGAGAGUACAUAUUUUAUGAGAUUGUUGUACUCAUCAUUUAAAAUAUGAAAUUUAUUUAGAGUGAUGCUUGGCUUCAAUAAGUCAUCAGCGUAUGGGAUUCUUGUUUCAGAAACAGCUCUCUCAUGGCACUGUGAGGAAAAGAUAGCAGAGGCAGGAAAACUUCAAUCCUCAAUAUUCCAGAAGAAGAACAAAGAGGGCUUCGACUAUAGCAUUUGGCAGUUAUGGAAAAGUAAAGGUUUACUGGACCAAUUCUUCACGUUCUUACAUAUCACCUUAAUGUUACAUGAAAAGGAGCAAAAGAUACAAGGGGUGUUGACUAUCAAAUAAAGCUGAAGAGCCAAGAAACAUUUAUAACUGCAGUAGUUUUACUUGAAGAUACACAGUUUUCUAUAAGAUGUUGCUUUGUGAAAUAUUUUCAGGUUCAAGCAAAUAAAAUUCUGUAUGUGUCUCCUUGGA